This 204-nucleotide long non-coding RNA is filed under the name Malus domestica (apple). RNAcentral describes it as "long non-coding RNA (MDOM_LNC000412)". Lineage: Eukaryota; Viridiplantae; Streptophyta; Magnoliopsida; Rosales; Rosaceae. The record is from RNAcentral.
UGCACCAUUCCACCUCUCUUUCCUUUCUCUACCAUGUGCACAAUCAUUCAUGUUCCCCACUUGCAUUCAUAGCUGCAAAACCACUCCAUUUUAACCCUCAUGCUUUGCAUCAUCACUUCACUUUCACCUUUGAAUCAUUUCAACACCACUCCAUGCACUCAUUACUGCAACACCACUCUAUUUUACCCCCCAUGCUUUGCAUCA